CUUCCCUCUUCUGCUCUCUUCCUGUCUGAACACUUCCUAGCUUCGGCCUCCACCUCCUUCAUUACUUCUUGAAUACUUGAAGCCUUCGGAAGUCAUCCUGUCUUCCCAGAUUCUUAGUCUGCCACUCCAUCUAGCAACUCAUUUUACCUUGGCCCUGAGAGGAUUGCCUGAGAGACUAGAGGUUUUAGAGCAGGAAAAGAUGAUACAAAUCACGUAACCCAGCAGCCUCUAGGAGCAGAUGAGGACGUUUGGAUGUGGGAAGGCUACAGAACUUGUGUAAGGUCACAGUGCUGGUGAUGUGGAGCUGGAAUUAUGACCUCUGCUUGGCAGCCGUCCCCCUGGAGUGGAUGCUCCUGGGAGUUGGUCCCUGUGUCCAGCCUCUGUCUUCAUACACAAAUUAUGUUUAGACAGGUUGGCCCAUGCAGACUUAUCAGUGGUUCAGAGAUAUCCAAAAGCUUUGUUCCUCUCAUGGUGCUGAGUCUAAGAGAUUUAUCUUUCUUGCAUCCCCUGCUUACACUAAACUUCCAUUUAAGCUUAAUAGCCAGAGAAGUGACUGUAAGCAGUUCUCCAACCUGAGCUUGCAUUAGAAUCACCUGGAGGGCUUUUUGAACCAUAGAGAGCUGGGCUCCACCCCUGGAGUUUCUGAUUCUGUGAAGGUGGGGUGGGUCUGGGACUUUGCAUUCCCAGGUGAUGCUGAUAUUGCUAACCCUGAGAUCUUAUUGGGAGAGCCUGAGAGAGAGUGGUUAAGAACCUGGACUUCACAACUGAACAACCCUGAGUUUCAGCUCCUGUUUCACCACCUUGGGCAAGUGACUCAACCUCGGAUAUCCUUUGGAAAAUCUCUGAAGCAGACACCCAAAUCAGAGCCGAGCUUUGCCGUGACUCUCCAGAAGCUGAUGGGCCUGGUGUUUGAACUGAGCCUGUCAACAUGUGGAAAACACAGAGGUCUCCCCCAGAGGUUUCUUUUGACUUCAUGCCCCGUGUCUGGGAAUGUAGCUGAAGAAAGCAUGCAUCUGGAUAAAGACAACGAGGAGAACCUGUGUGAGACUAAUUGCUUCACACACGAGGAAACUUUGGCUUCAUCCAUCUGAGCUAAGUG
RNAcentral lists this long non-coding RNA (1099 nucleotides) under Homo sapiens (human). Its description in RNAcentral is "HSALNT0096780". Lineage: Eukaryota; Metazoa; Chordata; Mammalia; Primates; Hominidae. The record is from RNAcentral.